CGAUCGUCCGAUGCAGCGACAGCGCCCUCGGGGAGCGGUGGAGCGAUUGGGCUCACCGGCGUUCUUGGAGGAUCGUCAUCUCCGCCCUCCGACAAUCGUUGAAUAACUGAGACAGUUGAAUUUUACCUUCCCGUGAAUCGAGGAUGCUCGUGUCAUAAGGAGGAUCCCGUCGCACCCACUCAACCCCCUCGAGCUCGUUGCCGUCAAUCUGACUCUUGUUGUUAUCGAAGUUGAGACCAGCGCUCGCUACGUUUCCCAAUUCGAUGAAUUCUUCUUCCGGCGACUUAGCUGCUUCUUUCGCUCUAUCCAGCAGGUCUCUUUCGAACCUUCAUGGAGAUCGGAAGAAAAAAACGAACAUCGAUCAACCCGAGUCCGGGGAAGCUGCAUCGGCGUAUCAGAAUCCUAGUUGGAAAGUCAAGGCUCGAGGUUCGUGUGGGCAAAAAGGACGGAGCUUGACGCGCCUGGGGAUAGACGAGAGAGCGAGGAGCAAACACGCGAGCCACGCACGAAAGAUCGUCGUUGCAAGGGAAGCAGAAUAAAGAGGAGGAGGAGGAAAACU
This is a long non-coding RNA of Venturia canescens, 559 nucleotides long. RefSeq lists it as uncharacterized. The transcript is spliced from 3 exons. The record is from RefSeq and is a predicted model, not a curated record. Lineage: Eukaryota; Metazoa; Arthropoda; Insecta; Hymenoptera; Ichneumonidae.